Molecule: non-coding RNA, 24 nt
Filed under: Rattus norvegicus (Norway rat)
Lineage: Eukaryota; Metazoa; Chordata; Mammalia; Rodentia; Muridae
Source: RNAcentral
UUUAAUGUGUCCUCAAGAUAGCAC